This 443-nucleotide ribosomal RNA is filed under the name uncultured bacterium. RNAcentral describes it as "bacterial SSU rRNA". It matches the Rfam family "Bacterial small subunit ribosomal RNA", at positions 335 to 795 of the family's 1533-position model. The record is from RNAcentral.
ACUCCUACGGGAGGCAGCAGUGGGGAAUAUUGCACAAUGGGGGAAACCCUGAUGCAGGAACGCCGCGUGAGUGAUGACGGUCUUCGGAUUGUAAAGCUCUGUCUUCAGGGACGAUAAUGACGGUACCUGAGGAGGAAGCCACGGCUAACUACGUGCCAGCAGCCGCGGUAAUACGUAGGUGGCAAGCGUUGUCCGGAUUUACUGGGCGUAAAGGGAGCGUAGGUGGAUAUUUAAGUGGGAUGUGAAAUACUCGGGCUUAACCUGGGUGCUGCAUUCCAAACUGGAUAUCUAGAGUGCAGGAGAGGAAAGUAGAAUUCCUAGUGUAGCGGUGAAAUGCGUAGAGAUUAGGAAGAAUACCAGUGGCGAAGGCGACUUUCUGGACUGUAACUGACGCUGAGGCUCGAAAGCGUGGGGAGCAAACAGGAUUAGAUACCCUGGUAGUC